Non-coding RNA from Myodes glareolus (Bank vole), 769 nucleotides. The record is from RefSeq and is a predicted model, not a curated record. Lineage: Eukaryota; Metazoa; Chordata; Mammalia; Rodentia; Cricetidae.
CCAAUGACAGACUUGGAGGGAUAUGUGUGAGUUUGCGUCUAACCUCGGGGGAAUGUUUUCAGCCAUUUUCAAGCAUCUCUUGAAUCUCAGAAGCAACUGAAGCAGAACCACAGGAUUAUUUGUAAUGGAGCCAAAUGACACCCAAGAAACAAACCUCACCUCCUGGCCACAUCUAUCAACUGCUCCCAGUGUCAUUUGAUGACAGCAAAGAAUUUGAAAGGAAGAAAUCAGAAAUGACAUCUAUACGCUGCCGGAGGUGAAGGAUUAGCACCUACUACCCAAGGUCAUUUUACAAAUCAUCACUGCAAUCCAACCUGGAUUAGAACCCAGAUGAGAUUACUUCAGUGCAAAAGUUACUUUCUGCUAUAUUUCCGAAGCUAUGUCUGGUGGCUAUGCUCCGUACUGUGGUCCUCGGUGCCUCUUGUCCUUGUGAGUUGGUAUUGUGUGUGCAAGUAUAAAUCUAGAAUGAUAUCACAGGGUACCUGAAGAAAAGUAUAGCUGUCCCCUCAUUCUACUUUGGCCAGUGAUCAUUUCCCAACAGUAUAAAAUGUAAGACAAGGGACUGGAGAGAUCAUUCAGGAGUCAAGAGCUCUUGCUGACCUUGCAGAAGACUGGAAUGUAUGCUUGAUUCCCAGCACUUAUAUCUAGAAGCUCCCAACUACCUGUGACUCCAGUUUCAGGGGACCCAACAUUCUCUUCUGGCCUCUGAGGGUAACUACAGACAAGUGUAGGUGCAUUUACACAGACACACACAUACAUAUUAAUAAAA